RNAcentral lists this ribosomal RNA (484 nucleotides) under uncultured bacterium. RNAcentral's name for it is "partial 16S ribosomal RNA". It matches the Rfam family "Bacterial small subunit ribosomal RNA", at positions 30 to 507 of the family's 1533-position model. The record is from RNAcentral.
AUUGAACGCUGGCGGCAGGCCUAACACAUGCAAGUCGAGCGGAUGAAGGGAGCUUGCUCCUGGAUUCCGCGGCGGACGGGUGAGUAAUGCCUAGGAAUCUGCCUGGUAUUGGGGUAUAACGUCCUGAAACGGGCGCUAAUACCGCCUACGUCCUGCGGGAGAAAGUGGGGGAUCUUCGGACCUCACGCUAUCAGAUGAGCCUAGGUCGGAUUAGCUAGUUGGUGGGGUGAAGGCCUGCCAAGGCGACGAUCCGUAACUGGUCUGAGAGGAUGAGCAGUCACACUGGAAGGGAGACACGGUCCAGAGUACUACGGGAGGCAGCAGUGGGGAAUAUUGGACAAUGGGCGAAAGCCUGAUCCAGCCAGGCCGCGUGUGUGAAGAAGGUCUUCGGAUUGUAAAGCCCGUUAAGUUGGGAGGAAGGGCAGUAAGUUAAGACCUAGCUGUUUUGACGUUACCAGCAGAAUAAGCACCGGCUAACUUCGUG